RNAcentral lists this transfer RNA (73 nucleotides) under Stegodyphus mimosarum. It matches the Rfam family "tRNA". Rfam says of the family: Transfer RNA (tRNA) molecules are approximately 80 nucleotides in length. Their secondary structure includes four short double-helical elements and three loops (D, anti-codon, and T loops). Further hydrogen bonds mediate the characteristic L-shaped molecular structure. tRNAs have two regions of fundamental functional importance: the anti-codon, which is responsible for specific mRNA codon recognition, and the 3' end, to which the tRNAs corresponding amino acid is attached (by aminoacyl-tRNA synthetases). tRNAs cope with the degeneracy of the genetic code in two manners: having more than one tRNA (with a specific anti-codon) for a particular amino acid; and 'wobble' base-pairing, i.e. permitting non-standard base-pairing at the 3rd anti-codon position. Lineage: Eukaryota; Metazoa; Arthropoda; Arachnida; Araneae; Eresidae. The record is from Rfam by way of RNAcentral.
GCCUUCAUGGUGUAGUGGUCAGCACGCUCGACGCGUAACCGAGAGGUCCGUGGUUCGAUUCCCGGAGAAGGCG